Molecule: long non-coding RNA, 1746 nt
Filed under: Homo sapiens (human)
Lineage: Eukaryota; Metazoa; Chordata; Mammalia; Primates; Hominidae
Description: HSALNT0253666
Source: RNAcentral
UUUUGUUGGUUUUGUUGCAGAUCAGAUGGUUGCAGGUGUGUGGGUUUAUUUCUGGGUUUCCUAUUCUGUUCCAGCGGUUUUUGUGUUUGUUAUUGUACCAGUAUCAUGACCAAGCCCAGUUUCCAACCAUUAGGAGAGGGCUGGCCUCUGCAUUUCUUUACUAUAAUGAGGUGGCAUUUAUCAUAACCUGCAAACCUAAUGUGUUCGGGAGGGAGUCAGGAGGGAUUACAUCCCACUGGCAACUACAUCCCACCCACACCUAUGUCCCACCCACACCCAGUGAGGGAGUACAUCCCACCCACAUCCAGUGAGGGAGUAUAUCCCACCCACACCCAGUGAAGGAUUGUGUCCCACCCACACCCAGUGAGGGAGUACAUCCCACCCACAUCCAGUGAGGGAGUAUAUCCCACCCACACCCAGUGAAGGAUUGUGUCCCACCCACACCCAGUGAGGGAGUGUGUCCCACCCACACCCAGUGAGGGAGUAUAUCCCACCCACACCCAGUGAGGGAGUGUAUCCCACCCAUACCCAGUGAGGGAGUGUAUCCCACCCAUACCCAGUGAGGGAGUGUAUCCCACCCAUACCCAGUGAGGGAGUGUAUCCCACCCAUACCCAGUGAGGGAGUGUGUCCCACCCACACCCAGUGAGGGAGUGUGUCCCACCCACACCCAGUGAGGGAGUGUGUCCCACCCACACCCAGUGAGGGAGUGUGUCCCACCCACACCCAGUGAGGGAGUGUGUCCCACCCAUACCCAGUGAGGGAGUGUGUCCCACCCAUACCCAGUGAGGGAGUGUGUCCCACCCAUACCCAGUGAGGGAGUGUAUCCCACCCAUACCCAGUGAGGGAGUGUAUCCCACCCAUACCCAGUGAGGGAGUGUAUCCCACCCAUACCCAGUGAGGGAGUGUAUCCCACCCAUACCCAGUGAGGGAGUGUAUCCCACCCAUACCCAGUGAGGGAGUGUAUCCCACCCAUACCCAGUGAGGGAGUGUAUCCCACCCAUACCCAGUGAGGGAGUGUAUCCCACCUACACCCAGUGAGGGAGUGUAUCCCACCUACACCCAGUGAGGGAGUGUAUCCCACCCAUACCCAGUGAGGGAGUGUAUCCCACCUACACCCAGGCAAUGUGUGCAGGGCCACCCAAUUAGAAAUGGCAGGAAUUUGGAUUUAAACACGGUUGUUUCUGACUUCAAAUCUGACAAUUUGCACAACACACAUUUAAGAAACAUUUGUAUGUUUGCAGGAAUUUGAGCUCUGAAGCCCGCAAAAGAAUGAGUCCUUGCUGAUGGGACACUGGCAGUGGCCUCCAGGGAGUGGCCUGUGACUGAGGUCCCUUGAUCUGCUUGUGGAUCUGCCGCUACAUCUUUGGAGUUGAAACAGACACAAUGGGAAUCCACCCGUCAACUCUCAUCAUCAAUACAUUUCCGGUUCCCUAGAGGCCAUGGCUGAAAAUCUAGCUGGAAAUCAUUUUAUGGAUGAAUGCCGGCUAACACCGUGGGGUUCCAGGUUCUGUGCUAGGUGGUCUGUCUAGGUGAGAGCACUAAAUGUUCACUAUGAGCCUGGAAGGAGGAGGACCCCAUGACGCCCUUUCUGUAGAUAAGCAAACUGCGCUAAAGGUGGUGAUGACUCGCCCACUUCAGCCAGUGACCCGGCAGAAGGCACAUCCCUGAACCAGGCUCCAGUGGGUGCGACUGUGCCUGAGGAGUUGUCUGGGGCUUUUUGUGGCAGCAGCCCAGGGAUCAGGUGA